RNAcentral lists this ribosomal RNA (334 nucleotides) under Clostridioides difficile. Its description in RNAcentral is "bacterial SSU rRNA". It matches the Rfam family "Bacterial small subunit ribosomal RNA", at positions 153 to 505 of the family's 1533-position model. The record is from RNAcentral. Lineage: Bacteria; Bacillati; Bacillota; Clostridia; Peptostreptococcales; Peptostreptococcaceae.
GAAAGGUAUGCUAAUACGGGAUAAUAUAUUUGAGAGGCAUCUCUUAAAUAUCAAAGGUGAGCCAGUACAGGAUGGACCCGCGUCUGAUUAGCUAGUUGGUAAGGUAACGGCUUACCAAGGCGACGAUCAGUAGCCGACCUGGGAGGGUGAUCGGCCACAUUGGAACUGAGACACGGUCCAAACUCCUACGGGAGGCAGCAGUGGGGAAUAUUGCACAAUGGGCGAAAGCCUGAUGCAGCAACGCCGCGUGAGGGAUGAAGGCCUUCGGGUCGUAAAACUCUGUCCUCAAGGAAGAUAAUGACGGUACUUGAGGAGGAAGCCCCGGCUAACUACG